RNAcentral lists this long non-coding RNA (1142 nucleotides) under Homo sapiens (human). RNAcentral's name for it is "non-protein coding lnc-WDR60-14:1". Lineage: Eukaryota; Metazoa; Chordata; Mammalia; Primates; Hominidae. The record is from RNAcentral.
ACUACGGAACGCGCACGCGGGGCGCCACAGCUGGGGAACCCAUGCCCGGUCCGCGCGCCGACGUCCACUGCGCGCUCGUGCGCGUCCUGGGGCCUCCGCGGAGGGAGUGCGCGGUCCAGGAGAGGGCGGGGCGCUGCGAGCGGGCGGUGUUGUGGGAAGGAGGAAGGAGAGGAAGAGAGAGAGGGGGAGAGAAAGGAAAGGCUUGGGGCGGGGAGAGGCCACAGGGCCGUGUCUGGAUCCCCGGGAGGACCCCACCCCGACCUGGCCGGCCCCCGUGACCGCCCUCCCUGCCGAGGGGGCACCUGUCCGGGUGGUCCGCAGCCUGCACACGGUAGGUGCACCCUGGGCAGGUGCUUCCCCCGCAGGAGCCCCUCCGGCCAGGUGCGGCCCCUAACAGGUGCUUCUCCUGCAGUUGCUCCUCCAGCAGCAGGUUCCAAGUUCUUGUCCCAUGUCCAGGAAGAAUGAGGUUUGGCAGACAUCUGGAGGGUGAGCAAGGCAGAGAACAGCUGACCAAAUAGCUCUCAGUGGAGAGGAGACUCGAAGUGGGUAGCUCCUAUCCACAGGCACGUAUGGGCUCAGAAUGGAGGAAGUACAUGUUGAUUGGUCCAUAGACAGGAGGAAGUGUGUGCUGAUUGGCCCAUGGGCAGGCCUGGAAAAAGCACUACUUGAUUGGCUGAAAGGCAUCAAGUAAGUUCUCUUUCUGGAUCUCGGACUUCACCAGGAACUGGCAUCCUGGCCCAGGAACUUCAGGCUGUCCCUGGCUUGAAAGUGGGGUUUCACCAGGGACCUGCCCCUUCCCACCCAGGAACCUGUCUGCCUCCCGCUGCCAUCACCGUUCACUGGGAAUGUGACCUUCCCCGCAAAUAGAUGACACUCCUCCAGAACUCAGCUCAAGCUUUACCUUCUAUAGGGGUUUAUUUCCUGAACCCCAUAACCCUCACUGUAAUGCAAUCUCUUAGCCCCCUACCACAGGCCUCAUCAUCUCCUCCAUGUCAAGCACUGUGUCAUCCUUAGUCCUAUAUCCGUGGCGUAAGGCCUGGCACAUUUUAGAUGCUUGAAGAAAAUAUUUUCUGAAUAAAUGAAUGAAUGAGGCAUGAGAUCAUCUGUGUUCUUAAAAUCUUACAAUGUGGUAAAUUAGAAAA